Molecule: non-coding RNA, 716 nt
Organism: Cyanistes caeruleus (blue tit)
Lineage: Eukaryota; Metazoa; Chordata; Aves; Passeriformes; Paridae
Source: RefSeq, a predicted model, not a curated record
GAGUAUCUAAACCAAGAGCUUUGAUCUUGGUAUCUGUAAAAAAGAGGUCAUUUGGUCUCCCCAGGAAGCACAGACAUUUAGAAGGUCCUCGUACAACUCAUGCAAGUAUUUUAUUAACAACAAUUUCUAUUCACAUUUAGACAUCACUUGUGAACGUAAAUUCCGUGGAGCUUAUGGAAAAUGAGCAAGACUAUCAGUCCUUGUGCACACAAUGUGCUCAGGUGAAGAAGAAGCUGACCUGUUGUGGCUGGUUUCAACGAGGAAUUAGGAGACCUGGGUGUAUAAGUCGUCCAAACAAUACCUGACUCACCAUCAAAGGCUGAAGGUUGUGCCUUCCAGAGGCAAAAAGCAAAGUGCCCCUCAGUACCCACUGCCCCAGGUAUUGAGGCUGACCACAACUGAUCCUUUUGAAGCUGCCACGAGCCCAGAGGGAAUCACAGCCUGCAGGAGACCCCCAAAACAAGGAACACAAACAGGUGAAACUUCAGGGUUUGCCCUCUUCACUGCUUAAAGAGGGUCUGUGUCCCUGGCUUCCAGGCAAAGCAAUGUGGAAAGAUGGAUGAACAGAACUGCACCCUGAAAGUAAUCUGCUCAUGGAAACUAUCCUGGAAUAUUGGAUUGGGCCAGCUCUGUGAUGGUCAUGCCCAUUUUGAGACUCUCAUGUUAAUGCCACAAGAACUUCAGUCUCCUGUAUAAUAUUUCAGACAUGGAGGGGG